UGGACGAAGUUAACGAAAGUACGAACAUCUUUAUCGCCAAGGUUAUUAAAAAUUGAAAUAUUUUUCAAUUGAUUUUUCUUCCUUUUUGAAAGAUGGCCUUUAAGGAGAGUGUAAUUUUUCUCGAAAUUAUAUUUUCUGACUCGUGACCAUACUGGACGUAUACCUCUGAUUUCCCGCGUCUUCCAUUCAACUCGAAAGGAGAUUGGCUGACAGAUUGAAUUUUCAAUUUCUUAUAAUACAUCAAUACACGAUAGAAAAUGAUUUCACCGAAAAACGAAACAAUUCUUUCAUGUUCGUGGUCCAAGGUUCUUUCGUAUAGACCUUGACAAACGGAUUGAGCCGAUGAAUCAUUGGCACAUUAACAGGAUGUUCGAUAAGGAUUAGAAAUCUCGAGACUUCCGUUUCAGCCAACUCGUCGAUUGUGAAAUGAAGCAUUUUUCUGGUCCAAGCGUACUCCAACAAUUCUUCGAGACUGACACUCGCCACCCGAACAAAAGCAAUUUAUGUUGCAACUUCACCAACAAUUCAUGGAUCUUUGGAUUUCCUAGGGUUUCGUUGUCAGCGAAGUUGAUCAUGAACUUUACUUGGUAAAAUUCCAAAUCCGUAGGUACGUGUCUUGUCAAUUCAUCUAUCCACUAAGUCGAUUCCACAGGAUUGCGAGAAAAUCCGUAGAGCCAAAGAAUACAAUAUAUCGCGAUGGCAUACAUAUUUCUCGGAUUCAUUCAGAACGGUAUCAUUUUCACAACUGAAUGUUCGACAAUGGCCUUUCCGUGUAUACAUGAACGUUAAUAAAGUUUUAUUGAAGUUUA
Molecule: long non-coding RNA, 809 nt
Organism: Venturia canescens
Lineage: Eukaryota; Metazoa; Arthropoda; Insecta; Hymenoptera; Ichneumonidae
Exons: 3
Source: RefSeq, a predicted model, not a curated record